AAUUCUCAACUUCGAAAGGCUUUUUAUGGUCUUCUGAAGCUUGGAUGUUGGAGGAUUAUGCAGGCAUAUAUAAUUGUAUGUCAGCUCCUCUUAAAUGUAUUAGCAGAACUUGAAUGUUUGGCUCUGGUUUGAUAAUAAUAUCUAUGCCAUUGCUGAGAAGUCAAUAGGUUCAGCUUCUAAUGGUCCAUUUGGACUGUCUCUUUAGAGGCAUCACAUUUG
Molecule: unclassified non-coding RNA, 219 nt
Filed under: uncultured Clavariaceae
Lineage: Eukaryota; Fungi; Basidiomycota; Agaricomycetes; Agaricales; Clavariaceae
Also listed under: 1 other name
Description: sequence contains ITS2
Source: RNAcentral